UACGUAGGGCGCGAGCGUUGUCCGGAAUUAUUGGGCGUAAAGAGCUCGUAGGCGGCCUGUUGCGUCUGGUGUGAAAUCCCGGGGCUUAACCCCGGGCGUGCAGUGGAUACGGGCAGGCUGGAGGCCGGCAGGGGAGAAUGGAACUCCCGGUGUAGCGGUGAAAUGCGCAGAUAUCGGGAGGAACACCGGUGGCGAAGGCGGUUCUCUGGGCCGGUUCUGACGCUGAGGAGCGAAAGCGUGGGGAGCGAACAGG
RNAcentral lists this ribosomal RNA (253 nucleotides) under uncultured bacterium. RNAcentral describes it as "partial 16S ribosomal RNA". It matches the Rfam family "Bacterial small subunit ribosomal RNA", at positions 524 to 776 of the family's 1533-position model. The record is from RNAcentral.